This 77-nucleotide transfer RNA is filed under the name Candidatus Enterenecus stercoripullorum. RNAcentral describes it as "tRNA-Ile". It matches the Rfam family "tRNA". Rfam says of the family: Transfer RNA (tRNA) molecules are approximately 80 nucleotides in length. Their secondary structure includes four short double-helical elements and three loops (D, anti-codon, and T loops). The record is from RNAcentral. Lineage: Bacteria; Bacillati; Bacillota; Clostridia; Eubacteriales.
GGGCCUUUAGCUCAGUUGGUCAGAGCAACCGGCUCAUAACCGGUCGGGCCACGGUUCGAGUCCGUGAAGGCCCACCA